AUUGAACGCUGGCGGCGGGCUUAACACAUGCAAGUCGAGCGGGGAAGGGUAGCUUGCUACCUAACCUAGCGGCGGACGGGUGAGUAAUGCCUAGGAAUCUGCCAUUUAGUGGGGGACAACAUUCCGAAAGGAAUGCUAAUACCGCAUACGUCCUACGGGAGAAAGCAGGGGAUCUUCGGACCUUGCGCUAAAUGAUGAGCCUAAGUCGGAUGAGCUAGUUGGUGGGGUAAAGGCCUACCAAGGCGACGAUCUGUAGCGGGUCUGAGAGGAUGAUCCGCCACACUGGGACUGAGACACGGCCCAGACUCCUACGGGAGGCAGCAGUGGGGAAUAUUGGACAAUGGGCGGAAGCCUGAUCCAGCCAUGCCGCGUGUGUGAAGAAGGCCUUAUGGUUGUAAAGCACUUUAAGCGAGGAGGAGGCUACUUAGAUUAAUACUCUAGGAUAGUAGACGUUACUCGCAGAAUAAGCACCGGCUAACUCUGUGCCAGCCGCCGCCGUAA
RNAcentral lists this ribosomal RNA (501 nucleotides) under uncultured bacterium. RNAcentral describes it as "partial 16S ribosomal RNA". It matches the Rfam family "Bacterial small subunit ribosomal RNA", at positions 30 to 523 of the family's 1533-position model. The record is from RNAcentral.